This 651-nucleotide long non-coding RNA is filed under the name Triticum aestivum (bread wheat). Its description in RNAcentral is "long non-coding RNA (TAES_LNC012368)". The record is from RNAcentral. Lineage: Eukaryota; Viridiplantae; Streptophyta; Magnoliopsida; Poales; Poaceae.
UUGGCUUGUGCCUUGCCAAACCAUAUCAAUCAAGUUACAGUAACUUGCAUGUACUCCAAAAAUACUAAACCAGAACCAAAGAAGAAUAUUCACUAACUGAAAGGAGGAAACAUUUAUGCUUUUAUCACCGAGACAACUGAUAUGUUUACAAAAUGAUAGAUGCAUGUCCAUCAAUUCACUGUUUGCUCCAUUACACAAAAUACCCAGUUGACAGGACACCAUAUAGGUUUACAAAAUGAUACAUAGAAGACGCAUUGUUAUUGCUCCAUUACACAAAAUGUCUAGCUGACACAAACUGCCAUCUUCAUGGUUCCUCCCUGGUCCUCUUGUAUGUCAUUCCUACAAAGGUCCUCUUGUAUGUCAUUCCUACAAAGGAUUAAAAGAAGUCACCGGUGAAUUCAUGCAUUCAUAGAGAUAAUGGUAAAAAUAAUAAUUGUAUAAAGGAUCAAUGGAACUCCGCCUAUGUUGUCUCAACAUAGCCGGUCCCAAGCCCGGGUAAAGGAGGAGGGUUGUGAUAGGCUUGGCGAGCCAACGUAAAAACUCAGCCACUCUUAUGAAGAUGAAACCCAAAAGAUUUUCGUUGGGGCGUAACCCUCUCAGCGACGCGCCACAUCGGAACCCGGGUGUGGUGGAAAAUGGGCAAGGGCCGGG